This 175-nucleotide non-coding RNA is filed under the name Micromonospora echinofusca. RNAcentral's name for it is "FMN sequence". It matches the Rfam family "FMN riboswitch aptamer (RFN element)". Rfam says of the family: The RFN element is a highly conserved domain that is found frequently in the 5'-untranslated regions of prokaryotic mRNAs that encode for flavin mononucleotide (FMN) biosynthesis and transport proteins. This element is a metabolite-dependent riboswitch that directly binds FMN in the absence of proteins. Lineage: Bacteria; Bacillati; Actinomycetota; Actinomycetes; Micromonosporales; Micromonosporaceae. The record is from Rfam by way of RNAcentral.
ACGCGCUGGCGGGACUCGGUGUAAUUCCGAACCGGCGGUGAUCCACGGCGUGACCGUGGUAAGCCCGCGACCCGGUCGGCCUCGUGCCGCCCGGUGGACCUGGUGAGAAUCCGGGGCCGACGGUUGGGAGCGGGCAACCCCCGCCCCCAGACAGUCCGGAUGGGAGACAGCGCGC